UUCCGGUUGAUCCUGCCGGACCUGACUGCUAUCGGAUUGAUACUAAGCCAUGCGAGUCAUUGUAGCAAUACAAGGCAGACGGCUCAGUAACGCGUAGUCAAUCUACCCUAUGGACGGGAAUAACCUCGGGAAACUGAGAAUAAUGCCCGACAGAACAUUAUACCUGGAACGGUUUAUGUUUCAAAUGAUUUAUCGCCGUAGGAUGGGACUGCGGCCUAUCAGUUUGUUGGUGAGGUAAUAGCCCACCAAGACUAUUACAGGUACGGGCUCUGAGAGGAGUAGCCCGGAGAUGGGUACUGAGACACGGACCCAGGCCCUAUGGGGCGCAGCAGGCGAGAAAACUUUGCAAUGUGCGAAAGCACGACAAGGUUAAUCCGAGUGGUUUCUGCUAAAGAAACCUUUUGCUAGUCCUAGAAACACUAGUGAAUAAGGGGUGGGCAAGUUCUGGUGUCAGCCGCCGCGGUAAAACCAGCACCUCAAGUGGUCAGGAUGAUUAUUGGGCCUAAAGCAUCCGUAGCUCGUUUUGUAAGUUUUCGGUUAAAUCCAUACGCUUAACGUAUGGGCUGCCGGGAAUACUGCAUAACUAGGAAGUGGGAGAGGUAGACGGUACUCGGUAGGAAGGGGUAAAAUCCUUUGAUCUAUUGAUGACCACCUGUGGCGAAGGCGGUCUACCAGAACACGUUCGACGGUGAGGGAUGAAAGCUGGGGGAGCAAACCGGAUUAGAUACCCGGGUAGUCCCAGCUGUAAACUAUGCAAACUCAGUGAUGCAUUGGCUUGUGGCCAAUGCAGUGCUGCAGGGAAGCCGUUAAGUUUGCCGCCUGGGAAGUACGUACGCAAGUAUGAAACUUAAAGGAAUUGGCGGGGGAGCACCACAA
This 876-nucleotide ribosomal RNA is filed under the name uncultured Nitrososphaerota archaeon. Its description in RNAcentral is "bacterial SSU rRNA". It matches the Rfam family "Archaeal small subunit ribosomal RNA", at positions 1 to 884 of the family's 1478-position model. Lineage: Archaea; Thermoproteati; Nitrososphaerota. The record is from RNAcentral.